This 253-nucleotide ribosomal RNA is filed under the name uncultured bacterium. Its description in RNAcentral is "partial 16S ribosomal RNA". It matches the Rfam family "Bacterial small subunit ribosomal RNA", at positions 524 to 776 of the family's 1533-position model. The record is from RNAcentral.
UACGAAGGGAGCUAGCGUUGUUCGGAUUUACUGGGCGUAAAGGGCGCGUAGGCGGUCUUGUAAGUCAGAUGUGAAAGCCCUGGGCUCAACCCGGGAACUGCAUUUGAAACUACAAGGCUUGAGUAUGGGAGAGGUAAGUAGAAUUUCCAGUGUAGAGGUGAAAUUCGUAGAUAUUGGAAAGAAUACCAGUGGCGAAGGCGACUUACUGGACCAUAACUGACGCUGAGGCGCGAAAGCGUGGGGAGCAAACAGG